RNAcentral lists this signal recognition particle RNA (189 nucleotides) under Clostridiales bacterium. Its description in RNAcentral is "partial signal recognition particle sRNA large type". It matches the Rfam family "Bacterial large signal recognition particle RNA", at positions 1 to 186 of the family's 256-position model. Rfam says of the family: The signal recognition particle (SRP) is a universally conserved ribonucleoprotein involved in the co-translational targeting of proteins to membranes. Archaeal SRP consists of a 7S RNA and homologues of the eukaryotic SRP19 and SRP54 proteins. Lineage: Bacteria; Bacillati; Bacillota; Clostridia; Eubacteriales. The record is from RNAcentral.
CUGUGCUAUGUGGGGAGCUAGCGGUGCCCUUCACUCGCAAGCCGCUACAGCGAGGCAGAAAGCCGCCUUCGGCGUAUUGUAUGGAAGGUCCGUUACCGCUCGUGUGACGAUGAUACCGGGGUCUUGUGCAACGUUAUACUGUGAACCGUGGCAGGGCUUGACGGCAGCAGCACUAAGCAGACCAUAAUG